The sequence is a regulatory RNA element, 53 nucleotides long. It matches the Rfam family "leuA-Halobacteria RNA". The record is from Rfam.
CAUGUCCGAGGAUAGAGGAAGUCGGGGCAACCCGGCUGGGCGUGAAAUUCUCC